UGCCCACAACCAAGAUACAUGCCUUUGACCGGAACCAAACCCUGGACCUUUCAGUCCACAGGCCGACGCUCUAUUCACUGAGCUAAACCGGUCUCAGCUGAGACAAGCUUUUUAAUUUCUGUGUUCUACUUACUGUCUGUAGUAGUUAAUAAGCAGAUUCGGAUUCUAUCCGCAUCAGGAGGUGAACAAUUUUCUGGUCAUCUCAAACUUUCUCUGCCUAGGGGAGAAUGACAUGCAGAAAUUAGCACCUCAGUUUAGGCCAGAUUUGCAUUGCUGCGUUAUUUUCCCUGCCCUCAUAAUAAGCCUGAUGCUAUCAGUUUUAGCAGAGUUUCAGAUCACUACAAAGAGUGGCUAGCUGCCAAGACCGGUUUGGCUCAGUGGGUAGAACGUCAGCCUAUGGACUGAAAGUUCUCAGGUUCGAUUCUGGUCAAGGGCAUGUACUUUGGUUGCGGGCACAUCCACAAUAGGGGGUGUGCAGGAGGCAGCUGAUUGAUGUUUCUCUCUCAUCGAUGUUUCUAGCUUUCUUUCCCUCUUUCCUCUCUGUAAAAAAUCAAAAUAUGCCCCUUGAUAGCAUUCCACAAAACCACUAAUUUACAUUCUACAAUAUCUAAAAUAGAUAACUGCAAUUUCUGAACUUUAUCUUAUGGGAAUCUGAGUUUUUUUCCUGCUCUUUACGUUGUAUAAAUGUUUAGAGGUUUAUUAUUGAUAUAUUAGUAGCUCAUCUUUUUUUGUGUGGAGAAAUGUAGCAUGCUUUAGUCAUUUGAUAGGCUCAUUUCUAAUGUUUACUUUAUUUAAAUUGCUACCGACAUGUUCCUAGAACUCUUUAUGGGGAUGUGUUUCAUUUACCCUUGUCAGUAACUCUACAUAGUUUUCAGUUGUUGGGUAGAUGAAUGUUUAACUUAGAGAUAUUUGCAAUUAAUGAUUGACACUGAUUGGCCUGCGUGCAUUUUCCAGCAGCGUAUGAGGGAUUCAGUUCCUCCUCGUAUUAGAGAAUCCUUAGUUUGGUCAAUCAUUUUUUAUUUAGACAUUUUUUAAAACUUUGUCAUGGUAACUCACUAUUUGAUUGCUUUCUCCUAAGGAUUAAUGGCAGACCUUCCCGGGGUGUGUUCUUGCUACCUUUGUAUCUCUGUUAAAAUGUUUGGUCCUGGGUUCUGCCUACUCUGCUUUGCGUUUUGUCUGUUUUAACAAAAGGAGAGUGAAACAACCAAGAUGGAAGUUGGGAUUUCAUGUGGUGCCUUUCUGGCUUUAUGGAAUAAAGGUUUUUUGGUUUCGAAUGA
Pipistrellus kuhlii (Kuhl's pipistrelle) is the source of this 1277-nucleotide long non-coding RNA. RefSeq lists it as uncharacterized. The transcript is spliced from 2 exons. Lineage: Eukaryota; Metazoa; Chordata; Mammalia; Chiroptera; Vespertilionidae. The record is from RefSeq and is a predicted model, not a curated record.